AUGGCCCCUUUCAGUGCCUGUCUGGGACCAUUACCACACAUUCCAAGUUGCCUCUUCAAGUCUUUCUGGUGCCCAUCUAUUGUUGCCUUUCUUCCCAUGAAUCGGAAGCAAAAAGAUUACAUUCACAAAAGGCCUUCGGUUCCUUAUGAAUUUUCUUGUAACAUGUUUUCCCCAGUUAGCUGUGUCUCGGUUCAUCUUUUUAUGGUCUUGCUUACUUCUUACUUCCAGUUCAGGGAAGAUGCCUUUCGGAUGUGCUCCCGUCUCCAGACAGCUACUUUCCUUGCAGACCAGCAUUUCUGUACCUUAAUUAUCCCUGGCAACAUGCCAAGCCAUAAAUUACUUCCACAAUCAAGAUCUCUGUGUCAUAUUCCUAACAGGGAACCAUUUGGGGAAUUAAGCAAAUAAAAAUCUCAACUCUUUUCCAUAAACAUCGGUAAAAAAGCUUUAGCCACGUAAGCAGGUAACCUUAACUUGUCCCAUCUUUGUCAGAAACACAAUUCAGAUAACGAUAUAAAUUGGAAAUAAGUCAGUAAGUUUGUAUUACUGUGUUUUACUGACUUGUGACUGUUAGAAUGAAAGCUCUAUUUGUAUGUAUAUUUGUGUGACACGGUAAAAAGCCCCACAAAGCUGCAUACCUCAAGCAUACCUCAGCUUCUGUUGAAACUGCUCUCUAUAAUCCAAAUGCGAAUAAGUAAUUAAGGACUGUCAUUGCCACUCUACCCAGACAAUGUGUAAAGAAAUGCUAAUCUUGACUUUUGUGAACCAAAAGUUCACAAUCAGAAUGUCAAAAGUCCCCUGGCCCUUGGAGAGUCCGGAGCCCCUUACCCUCAUCUCCGCCCAGGAGGUGAUUUACGGAAUCCACUAGCCCUCGGAAUGUCUGGAGCCCCUCACCCACACCCCGACCCCUCACCCUCACUCCCAAGGUGAUUUUUACGGGUAUAAAAGGUCUUGAUACCCACCUUUCGGGGCCACAGGUUGGAGAGACUCGAGUCCUCUGUGGCCGCCGGCAAUAAAGACCCUGCAAUUUGGCAUCCUUCUGUCUUGGUGUUGACUUCCUAUGCUCACUCCACUACAACAUCUGUAUAUUAUGUGUGUGUAGUAUGUUUCCACCUCCAGAUAGCAUUUUUAAUUUAUCAAACCAUUAAAGGAGCUCUAUUCAAAUUGACCUACAGAUAAAUGAGUGCUCAUAUAAAUUAGACAUUCCUAAAAUUCUCAGACAUGUAGACUCUAGCCCAAAUUAAAAAAAAAAAAAAAUCACAUGACUUGUCUAAGUCCUUGGUAACUAAAGCUAGCUUUUUAAAUUAUUAGUAAAAUAAAAACAGGCAUGUCUUCAGAAUUUUAAGCAUGAAAUACUGAUACACAUUUUUUUCUCCAGAGUUUGCUGGCCACACAGAUUUGUGUUGUCUCUGCUUGAUGUUUAAAAAUAUAAAAUUAAAAACCCAAUCUAAUAGCAGAAUACACAGUAAAACUAAAUUGCCUGACACAUGUCAUUGAUGAAAGUAAGAAGACAGAGUGAGGGAGAGGGAAUGAAUCACAGUUAACUUUUUUGCCUCUGUGAUACUUUUUAUGCCCGAUUCCUCAACAGAAGUGAAGUAACCGAAGAUGAUGGCUAACUUUGUUUAUGGUCUCAUAAAAAAUGCUCAUGAGCCAACCACGAAUAAUUGUUAAAAACAAGUGAAUUAAAUAAUGUGUAAGUGACCUAAAAGUAUAUAAACUUUUCGAUAAUCAUUACAUUUUAUAAAACACGUCUACUUAAAAAAAUAGUUUCGAAAAAAUUUUUUGGUAACUUGCAACCUUAAAGCUAUACUAAAUUAAGUAAUAAAUACUCAUUAAAUAUCGGAGUCAUUUUUAAGUAACUAAAAACAUUAAUUACUAGCAUAAAUUUAAGUUGAUAUACACUGGCAUUUUUUUUAUAAGGUAUAGAGAAGCCAAAAUUUCGAUCUGUUAAUGAAUAUGAAAAAGUGGAGAGGGACUUUUUUCAAGAAAUUAUGGCUUCAAUCUAUGGAAUGUGAUAAACUACAAUUGCUUAAAAGUUAAAAAUCCUAAUAUAUGUAAUUAAAACUACCAGAAAUAAGGGGAAAAAAUCGUGUAUGCAAAAUAUAUAAGGAAAGUAAGAUGUGUUUUUAGUAAGGAAAAUUCUAAGGCAUUAAGAUGUAUUUACUGUUAAUGGGGAAAGUGGUUAAUUCUCUACUAAACUAUAAUGAGCAGUUGUUCCAGAGUAAGAAACAAAUAUAUAGGAAGAUAAAGAUAGGUUUUUAAGACCACACCAUCGGAUGGGGUGUGCAUUCCUAGAACUCUAAGGAAGAGACGGCCGGGUUUAUGAAACUGUUAAGCAAGGUCAAGGGGACUAUUAAUUACAUGAGAGUAAAUGAAGGGGAUCAUUUUUAUGGCUGUUAUUUGUAACAUUGCUUCUUUAAAUCUUUUGUUUUCCAGAUUUAAACAAACUUUUCUUCUAAGCUACCUGUAGCUUACAGCAAUUUAGUAUAUUUUUGUUAACAAAAUUAAAACGCUUUCUUCCUCCCUGAUCCCUCUGGAAUUUAUAAACUACGAGUACUGUUAUUUCUAUGACAGUGAGAGUUACUUGCAUAAGCUCAGUAAGAAUAAAUUCUUCUUGAAAUAGGACGAAAUUGGAAACACCGAUUAUGUGACCAAGACUUUGACUGGAAUGUCAUAUUUCCAGACAUGACCAGUUUUAAGAAACUAAGGUGGACUUUAUGGAGCCAAUAAAGCCCCUAUUGGAAAAACUGGCUGGGCUUAAAAGAGUUUCUAACCUUACAAGUGAGUAAGUAAUGUCACUUUCUGGCAGGCCCAGGAACUGCAGAAUAUUUUGGGGAUCCUGAGAAGAAAGGAAUUCACCCAAAUCUAUAGGUAUAGCAGGCAAAGUAUGAUGGCAAGUUAUUGGCUUGGCUUCUGGCCUCAAGAGGCUUUUAAAAAAUCUAAUCUGGGCUGGGCGAAGUGGCUCACGCCUGUAAUCCCAGCACUUUGGGAGGCCGAGGUGGGUGGAUCACGAGGUCAAGAGAUCGAGACCAUCCUGGUCAAUAUGGUGAAACCCCGUCUCUACUAAAAAUACAAAAAAAAAAAAAAAAAAAAAAAUUAGCUGGGCAUGGUGGCACAUGCCUGUAAUCCCAGCUACUUAGGAGGCUGAGGCAGGAGAAUUGCCUGAACCCAGGAGGCGGAGGUUGCGGUGAGCCGAGAUCACGCCAUUGCACUCCAGCCUGGUUAACAAGAGCGAAACUCCAUCUCAAAAAAAAAAAAUCGAAUCUGAGGUUCCUUAUCAAAGGUUCUAGCAAAGCAAAUUUUAAAAGAGCCUAUAUAGCCAAUCACAAUCUUGUGGCACUAGAGUAAAUAAUCAUUAUUUCUGCAAACAUUAUUUUACAAACAAAUUAGUCUUACUUUAUCUUUGGUAGAAAUGGAAAUGGCCAUAGAAAGAAUAAUUACAUUUCAGAAGAAAACUGUGCACUCAUUAUUAGAUCCCAGCUCAUUGUUUUUUGAGGUUUUUGUUAUUUACCUACAAUCUAGACUGGAUCCUGAAUUCUUCCCGUUUCCAGCAACGCCUGGCUACAGCUCUCCAAACUAGUAUUUUUCUCCCACCUUCUGGCUUGGAGUUACUGAAAUUAGAACUGCCCUGUCCCUGAGGCCCUGCAAACGAAAGCUAGAUGACCUGACACAAACUGUAGAGAAAGCACAGUAGCUUAUGCGUGCAUGGUCCUCACACUUGCUGCUAUAUGGACGGCUCAGAAACUUUUUUGGCACAGCUGAUACAAAUUGUAAACCACGGAAAUCUGUCAAGCCGCCACUGCCUGCUCCCACUCCAACUGAAGAGGCUUUCAGCCCAGACUCUAGAAAUCUCAACCGGCUGCCUUCUGAGCUCCAAAACCAAGUUUACAGUUUGUUCUCUUAACGUUUUUCUGUUUUUUUUUUUUUGAGACGGAGUUUUGCUCUUGUUGCCCACGCUGGAGUGCAAUGGCGUGAUCUCGGCUCACCACAACCUCCGCCUUUUGGGUUCAAGCAAUUCUCCUGCCUCAGUCUCCCGAGUAGCUGGGAUUACAGGCACGUGCCACCGUGCCCAGCUAAUUUUUGUAUUUUUAGUAGAGACGGGGUUUCACACCAUGUUGACCAGGAUGGUCUUGAUCUCUCGACCUCGUGAUCCACCUGCCUCAGCCUCCCAAAGUGUUGGAAUUAUAGGUGUGAGCCACCGUGCCCGGCCCUCUUUUCUUUUGCUUUCAUACAAGUGGAUUAUAAAUCAUUCUACUAUAAAGACACAUGACAUGUAUGUUCACUGCAGCACUGUUCACAAUAGCAAAGACCUGGAACCAACCCAAAUGCCCAUCAAUGAUAGACUGGACAAAGAAAAUGUGGCGCAUAUACACCAUGGAAUACUAUGCAGCCAUAAAAAAAAAACAAUGAGUUUGUGUCCUUUGUAGAGACAUGGAUGAAUCUGGAAAGCAGCAUUCUCAGCAAACUGACACAAGAAUAGAAAACCAAACACCGCAUGUUCUCACUCAUAGGCGGGUGAACAAUGAGAACACAUGGGUACAGGGAGGGGAGCAUCACACACUGGGGUAGGUUGCGGGGUGGGGGCUAGGGGAGGGACAGUAGGGGAAGGGAGGCCGGGGAGGAAGAACACUGGGAGAAUUGCCUGGUGUCGGCGACAGGGGAUGGAGACUGCAAGCCACUACAGCAACAACCCUGAGGGCUGAGCACAUGUGCCCCAGAGCUAAAGUCCAAUUGGAAAAAGGAAAAAAAACAGAAAUGCCUGUCAUUCAAUUCCUGAUUACUCACAGCAGACAGAGGUCUCACUUUGGUGGAAGCCCCUCUGUGACACUGCUGCCUGAAAUGAGACACAACCAUUGACUGUCUAACUACAUUGAUUCUUGGAACUCAAAGACAGGUUCAGUAGUGGAGACUCUCCACCAACCCAGCUUCUAGUUAAGCUCGUCAUGGAGGGGAAAUGCAAG
Molecule: long non-coding RNA, 4958 nt
Organism: Callithrix jacchus (white-tufted-ear marmoset)
Lineage: Eukaryota; Metazoa; Chordata; Mammalia; Primates; Cebidae
Source: Ensembl